CAAGUCGCACGAGAAAGUGGAGCAAUCCAUGAGUACAGUGGCGGUACGGGUGAGUAACACGNUGGAUCAUCUACCUUCUAGUGGGGAAUACCUCCGGGAAACUGGAGACAAUACCGCAUAAGCUCGUAAGAGGAAAGCAGCAAUGCGCUGGAAGAGGAGUCCGCGGCUGAUUAGCUAGUUGGCGGGGUAAUGGCCCACCAAGGCGAAGAUCGGUAGCCGGCCUGAGAGGGCACACGGCCACACUGGCACUGAAACACGGGCCAGACUCCUACGGGAGGCAGCAGUGGGGAAUCUUGCACAAUGGAGGAAACUCUGAUGCAGCGACGCCGCGUGAGCGAUGAAGCCCUUCGGGGUGUAAAGCUCUUUCGACGGGAACGAUAAUGACGGUACCCGAAGAAGAAGCUGCGGCUAACUACGUGCCAGCAGCCGCGGUAAUACGUAGGCAGCAAGCGUUGUUCGGAAUUACUGGGCGUAAAGAGUGUGUAGGCGGUGUUCUAAGUCUGUUGUGAAAUCUCCCGGCUUAACUGGGAGGGUGCGGCGGAAACUGGAAUGCUAGAGGAUGGGGGAGGUAAGCGGAAUUCCUGGUGUAGCGGUGAAAUGCGUAGAUAUCAGGAGGAACACCUGUGGUGUAGACAGCUUACUGGACCAUUUCUGACGCUGA
This 661-nucleotide ribosomal RNA is filed under the name uncultured Bacillota bacterium. RNAcentral describes it as "bacterial SSU rRNA". It matches the Rfam family "Bacterial small subunit ribosomal RNA", at positions 58 to 749 of the family's 1533-position model. The record is from RNAcentral. Lineage: Bacteria; Bacillati; Bacillota.